CCCUUAGAUGUUCUGGGCUGCACACGCGCUACACUGGCAGGUUCAGCGAGCUUCUUGCCCUGAUCUGAGAAGAAUGGGAAACCUUUUCAACACCUGCCGUGCUUGGGAUAGAUGUUUGCAAUUAUUCAUCUUCAACAAGGAUUGCCUUGUAGGCGUGCCUCAUCAGGGCACAUCGAAUACGACCCUGUAUUCUGUACACACCGCCCGUCGCUCCUACCGAUUGAAUGGUCCGGUGAAGCGUUCGGACCGCUUCCUUUGGACGGGCAACCGUCUGUUGGUCGUGGGAAGUUCGUUAAACCUUAUCAUUUAGAGGAAGGAGAAGUCGUAACA
Molecule: ribosomal RNA, 330 nt
Filed under: uncultured eukaryote
Lineage: Eukaryota
Description: partial 18S ribosomal RNA
Rfam family: Eukaryotic small subunit ribosomal RNA
Source: RNAcentral